GGAUGCGAUCAUACCAGCACUAAAGCGCCGGAUCUCAUCAGAACUCCGUAGUUAAGUGUGCUUGGGCGAGAGUAGUACUAGGAUAGGUGACCUCCUGGGAAGUCCUCGUGUUGCAUCCCUCC
RNAcentral lists this ribosomal RNA (122 nucleotides) under Oryza rufipogon (brownbeard rice). The record is from RNAcentral. Lineage: Eukaryota; Viridiplantae; Streptophyta; Magnoliopsida; Poales; Poaceae.